RNAcentral lists this non-coding RNA (131 nucleotides) under unclassified sequences. RNAcentral describes it as "Bacteriophage Diversity-Generating Retroelement RNA". It matches the Rfam family "Bacteriophage Diversity-Generating Retroelement RNA". The record is from Rfam by way of RNAcentral.
CUCUCGUGAUUAGUCAAGGCUUUUACGGAGCGACCUUAGAAAUAUGGUCAGCUUGCUUGUCCUACUUCGGUAAAUACAUUGAGAGGUUUGUAAAAGUUGGAGUAGCUUUAAGAGUGAAAGAACAAGACAAC